Molecule: ribosomal RNA, 50 nt
Filed under: Turbinaria mesenterina (pagoda coral)
Lineage: Eukaryota; Metazoa; Cnidaria; Anthozoa; Scleractinia; Dendrophylliidae
Also listed under: 5 other names
Description: partial 16S large subunit ribosomal RNA
Source: RNAcentral
UAAGAUAGGCUAAAUUGGACGGGAGAUUCGAAAGAGCGAAGAAGAAGCUU